UGGACAGAUUACUGUAUUCUACUGUAUUCACGGCGUGAAACGGGGGAUUACACUGUUUAAAACGGUAAGUGUAUCAAUUAACAUAUAGACUACU
MicroRNA precursor from Nicotiana attenuata, 94 nucleotides. It matches the Rfam family "MIR6152 microRNA precursor family". The record is from Rfam. NCBI's taxonomy places the organism in Eukaryota, Viridiplantae, Streptophyta, Magnoliopsida, Solanales, Solanaceae.